RNAcentral lists this long non-coding RNA (363 nucleotides) under Mytilus galloprovincialis (Mediterranean mussel). The record is from RNAcentral. Lineage: Eukaryota; Metazoa; Mollusca; Bivalvia; Mytilida; Mytilidae.
CUGUGUAGUUGUCUGAUCUACUUAACGAUAUAUAUGUGUAAACGAUUGAGUCAAUUGGUGAUAUAAUAUUUUUUACAUGUGAACCAUUAUUUCGCGGCAGAAUACGCUCAAAACUUUUAGGAGGCUCUAGAUGUGGUUUGCAGAAUAUUCAUAGCGGACAAAAAUAUAAAGAAAAGAUAAAAUGGGAAGGAAAUACAGAAUAAAGUAUAAUCGACUUACUAUAAGUUCAGUUUAACUCUGAUAAAUAUUUGUCUCGCAUCUCUAAACUUUAUAAUGAAUAAGGAUUCGAAUGUAAAAGGCAAACUAAAAAUUGGAAAAAAAUAAGAUCUGCUGAAUAUGUCUGAAACUUGUGUCACUGAACGC